Molecule: long non-coding RNA, 1851 nt
Organism: Triticum dicoccoides
Lineage: Eukaryota; Viridiplantae; Streptophyta; Magnoliopsida; Poales; Poaceae
Exons: 6
Source: RefSeq, a predicted model, not a curated record
CGCGAGGGACGCGCUCGACGGCCGUGGUGAGCCCCGUGCCCGUCCUCUUUCUCCUCCAUCCCCGUUCCCUCAUCUAACCCUAAAUCUCGCCCCAGCCGUCUCUUUCCUCCCCGCGCCGCCUGCCCCGGAUCUAGAGGAAGAGGAGGGAGGCAGGAUCUGGAGGAGGAAGAGGAGAUCCGGGCAUCCCGGCGGUGGCUCGACCGAUGCGAGGUGACGACGAGCUAAUGAGUGCCUCUUCGACUCCUUCCUCCGUCCUCGCCGCUGCCGCCGCUCCGACUCCUCUCUCCGUGCUCGCCGCCGCUGCCGCCUCUAUUUACGUCCUGCGGGAUGACGCCGCAGCUCCGUCUGACCGACCCUCAUGGAGGCGGUGCUGCCGGCCAUCGUUCUCAACCUGAGCUUGCCGCCCCCCUGCUUCUGGUGACUAGCAGCUAAAGGAAGGAGAGGGGAGCUCGACGGACUGCGUCUCAUACAGACCCACACGCCCCCUGACUUCGACAAGACCAGUGCAGUUUUGUUGAUCUACAUGCAUUUUCAGCAUUAUAGUAUUGACCCCUCGUCCGCCCCGGGUGCGGAGGCGAGCUUCCCGGCGACGGUGGCACUGGCUUGAGGCGGGGGAGCGGCUGAUGCAGGGUUGGAUCGAGGCAUGGGAGCGACGGAUGCGGGCGUCGACCUGCGAAGAGGCGAGAGGAGCGGUGGUUGCGGCGUUGAGCUGCGAAGAGGUGCCGCUCGGGCGCGAGACCACAGAGGCGGGAGCGGCUGCUUCGGGCCCCGGCCGUCUCAUUCACCGAUGACGGCCUCCUCGGCCUCAACAUCAAGGGCCGCCUUCUCGCAGAGAAGAACUUCAAGCUGAAGAGGAAGAGCGGCGCCGUCGAGUUCGCCUAGACCAUACUCGACUUCAGAAAGGGCCAAGACGUCAGGAUCAAGGCCGGAUACGAGCUCUAGCGCAAGGUACAAAGCUGAAAUGCUUGAUGAUGCGCCUCGUAUAUUCGAGGCUGUUUUCCAGUGUACCCUUGAGUUCUGCACUAUGCUCUGCUGGAUGUCGCCUAAGCAGAGGAUGCGGCAGUCUCGGCCACAUUUGGUUUUCCUAAGCUAAUGUUCUUUGUUGGUUCGUUCGACCAUGCCGUUAACCACCGUUAACCAACAAGGUUAGGUCUACUCAGAUUGCCUUGGGUUAUUACUUCUUGAUAAUAUAGGCCGUGAACUCCUGCAUUUGUGCGGCUAGGUUGCCUGUCUAUGUGUUUCGGGGUUCACCUUAUUAUGCUUGUCGUGCUUUGUAUGGGUUUUCCUCCAGAUCUUGUUAGAAAAAAAAUGUGUUCUUGAUUACUUAUGCUUGUUUUGGUGGUUUUCUUCCUGGGUGAUUGUGUGCUCAUAUGCCAUUGGUCGAUAUCCAUGUUUACAGCGGAUGCCCACUUUUCUUAGUUUCAUACCGAUUCUUAAUAGUCUUGCAAUGCCUGCUCGGGUUAGUUCUUUAAAUGAGUAGAGAUAAUAAAUGUAUGGGGUUUCCGAUAUCAAAUGUACCACCUGGUUAUUGUUUACCCAACUAAUACGUGCUGCUUGGUGAUAAAGGAAAAACAGCUAGAAAAAUAAUUAAUAAAGUGUACCAUCUGCUUAUUGUUUUAUACACAGUCGGCUUGAUUCUUUUGUGCCUCUAUAGGCCUCUGAUCAUGUCUGCAGUGUGCGGCUAGGUUGUUCGUCCGUCUGGGUCGUAGGUUCUUAGCCUGUUUUGUAAAGCCAAUGUAUGCUAUCACCAAGUGAUCUGAAUAUUUUCUUUCAAGCAUCAAGCUUUCGUGUAAUGGAAUAUAAGUAUUUUAAGUUGAUUCUAAAUCAAUCUCAUACACAUGCUUUGAAUGC